UUCGAAUUCACACUCGGCGGGCCGGCGAAGGUGUGCGCGCCCGCGGGAGCGCCGGGGCGAGCCCGAGGGACUGCAAGCCAGGAAGGGAGGCAUGGGUGGCGGGGGGCGCCGUCUGAUCCAGGUAGGAGCGGAGGCGCCGAUCACACACUCUUCAGACGCCCUGCCCGCGCCUGGCCAGCGCGCAGCCUGCAGGACGCGCGGAGCAGGAACUCGCUGGAGUUUGCCAAGCCCCACGACACCCACUUAACUUCGGAGUUAGUGGGACACCUUUCUUUUUGCUUAGUACGCUUUUCUGCUAUUCCUGCCGCAUAACUCUCUCUUCCCCAGGCUUUUCCCAUCUCCAUCCUAUUCUCUCGCAGGCAGGUUUUUCUUCCGCCUCUCUGGGGAUUUUCGCGUUGGUUCUCCCUGCCCCCAGGAGUGAGGCGGGUAACGCCCACGCCUACCUCCCGCAGCCGCUUCGGCCCCAUUCGGAAUGCCACAGCACUUGGUCCAGUGUGUUAUAUAACAUGCAGGCAGGGCUUGGACACCAUCCAUUCAUAACAUAGCGAGUGGUUUACAGCCCAGGUUCUGAAUUCAGACUAAUCUGAGUUGAGAUCUCCAUGCACCACUUAAACUUUCUGUAAGGCCUUAGGUGCUGGGGGAAAAGAUUACUUCCCAGAUGCAGUAUUUACAUCUCCUCCGCCCUACUCUUCCAACCCUGCCUGAAAUAAGUGUGGUUCUCCUGUCUGUCAGACUAUGAAGAGUUCUCAAAUAUGUCUUUCCCAGCGAGGGAGAGGAGAGUGAGUAUCCAGGAACUUUAAUGCGAUAGGACAUCAAUAUGAGUGUUUAUAGGGAAAGCCAGUGAUCCUAUUGUUAGACGCGAAAUCAAGACAUAUGAUCUGAUUUUUUGUUUUACUUUUUGUUUUUGAGGUAUAACAUUCAGUAAAGCGCACAAAUCAAAAGUGUGCGUCUAUGAGAUUCAUCCAUAUUGUUGUGUGUAACAAUGGUCCAUUCUUUUUCACUACUGUGUAUUACUUCAUUAUAUAAAUAUUCAACGAUUUGUGUACUCAUCCUACUGUUGGUGGACAUUUGAGUUGCUUCAUGUUUCUGCCUUUGAUGAAGCUGCUGCAGACAUUCUUACACAUGUCUUUUGGUGGACAUAGCAUUCAUUUAUGUUGGAUAUAUAUAUAUACCUAGGAUUGGAUUCCUGGUUCAUAGAGUGUUCACAUAUUAAACUUUAAAUACACUGCCAGUUUUUAAAUUCGUAUAACAAUUUAGGUUCCAACCAGUGAUAUGAGAUUUCCGGUUGUUUCACAUCUUUGCCAGUAUUGGUAUUUUCAGUCUUUUUAAUUUAAAAAGGGGGGGGAAACUUCAGCCUCCACGAUCGAUGUUUCUCAAGUGUCAAGGAAAAUGGAGCCUAGGAGGGCAGCCCCACAAGCAGCGUGAUGGGCAUUUAAGCCGACGCAUGUGCCAGGUCCUAGAACAGAGUAACUUCCCCAUCUCAACACAAUAAAAUGGUGAUAUGAGA
RNAcentral lists this long non-coding RNA (1507 nucleotides) under Homo sapiens (human). Its description in RNAcentral is "long non-coding RNA NONHSAT152168.1". The record is from RNAcentral. Lineage: Eukaryota; Metazoa; Chordata; Mammalia; Primates; Hominidae.